This 253-nucleotide ribosomal RNA is filed under the name uncultured bacterium. RNAcentral describes it as "partial 16S ribosomal RNA". It matches the Rfam family "Bacterial small subunit ribosomal RNA", at positions 524 to 776 of the family's 1533-position model. The record is from RNAcentral.
UACGAAGGGGGCUAGCGUUGCUCGGAAUCACUGGGCGUAAAGCGCACGUAGGCGGGUCUUUAAGUCAGGGGUGAAAUCCUGGAGCUCAACUCCAGAACUGCCUUUGAUACUGAAGAUCUCGAGUCCGGAAGAGGUGAGUGGAACUCCGAGUGUAGAGGUGAAAUUCGUAGAUAUUCGGAAGAACACCAGUGGCGAAGGCGGCUCACUGGUCCGGUACUGACGCUGAGGUGCGAAAGCGUGGGGAGCAAACAGG